GAAAUGCGAUAAGUAAUGUUAAUUGCAGAAUUCAGUGAAUCAUCGAAUCUUUGAACGCACCUUGCGCUCCUUGGUAUUCCUUGGAGCAUGCCUGUUUGAGUAUCAUGAAAUCUUCAAAGUAAAUCUUUUGUUAACUCAAUUGGUUUCUACUUUGGUAUUGGAGGUCUUUGCAGCUUCACACCUGCUCCUCUUUGUUCAUUAGCUGGAUCUCAGUGUUAUGCUUGGUUCCACUCGGCGUGAUAAGUUAUCUAUCGCUGAGGACACUGUAAAAGGUGGCCAAGGUAAAUGCAGAUGAACCGCUUCUAAUAGUCCAUUGACUUGGACAAUACUUUUAUGAUCUGAUCUCAAAUCAGGUAGGAAUACCCGCUGAACUUAAGC
This 378-nucleotide unclassified non-coding RNA is filed under the name plant metagenome. RNAcentral describes it as "partial contains 5.8S ribosomal RNA, internal transcribed spacer 2, and large subunit ribosomal RNA". The stretch from base 1 to 105 matches the Rfam family "5.8S ribosomal RNA", at positions 50 to 154 of the family's 154-position model. The record is from RNAcentral.